RNAcentral lists this ribosomal RNA (139 nucleotides) under uncultured bacterium. RNAcentral describes it as "partial 16S ribosomal RNA". It matches the Rfam family "Bacterial small subunit ribosomal RNA", at positions 355 to 509 of the family's 1533-position model. The record is from RNAcentral.
UGGGGAAUAUUGCACAAUCGGGGGAAAACCCUGAUGCAGCGACGCCGCGUGAAGGAAGAAGUAUCUCGGUAUGUAAACUUCUAUCAGCAGGGAAGAUAGUGACGGUACCUGACUAAGAAGCCCCGGCUAACUACGUGCC